RNAcentral lists this long non-coding RNA (296 nucleotides) under Durio zibethinus. RNAcentral's name for it is "long non-coding RNA (DZIB_LNC000411)". The record is from RNAcentral. Lineage: Eukaryota; Viridiplantae; Streptophyta; Magnoliopsida; Malvales; Malvaceae.
UUCUCCUUGAUUUAUUUUUUCUCUUUUAUUUUGGUUUUUAAUUGUUUUCUUUAUAAAUAGGCUAGGGUGAUAGACUAGUCUAAAUCUUUUCUAAAGAUUUUGUAGUUUUUGGUUAUCAUGAUAGACUAACCAUAGUUUGUUUUCCAAAGCUAUUUUUAAUACAAGUUCUAUUUACAUUUUUAUUCAAAACUCUUUUUCUUUCUUUUCAUGCACACCAUUUUUUUUUCUCUAUUCAAUUAUACUCUUUUCUAGCCAUUUACAAUUCAUUCUUGCUUUCUUUUGUUUUCUAUUAUAUU